CGUUCUGUAAGCCUGUGAAGGUGUGCUGUGAGGCAUGCUGGAGGUAUCAGAAGUGCGAAUGCUGACAUAAGUAACGAUAAAGCGGGUGAAAAGCCCGCUCGCCGGAAGACCAAGGGUUCCUGUCCAACGUUAAUCGGGGCAGGGUGAGUCGACCCCUAAGGCGAGGCCGAAAGGCGUAGUCGAUGGGAAACAGGUUAAUAUUCCUGUACUUGGUGUUACUGCGAAGGGGGGACGGAGAAGGCUAUGUUGGCCGGGCGACGGUUGUCCCGGUUUAAGCGUGUAGGCUGGUUUUCCAGGCAAAUCCGGAAAAUCAAGGCUGAGGCGUGAUGACGAGGCACUACGGUGCUGAAGCAACAAAUGCCCUGCUUCCAGGAAAAGCCUCUAAGCAUCAGGUAACAUCAAAUCGUACCCCAAACCGACACAGGUGGUCAGGUAGAGAAUACCAAGGCGCUUGAGAGAACUCGGGUGAAGGAACUAGGCAAAAUGGUGCCGUAACUUCGGGAGAAGG
RNAcentral lists this ribosomal RNA (508 nucleotides) under Escherichia coli. RNAcentral describes it as "partial 23S ribosomal RNA". It matches the Rfam family "Bacterial large subunit ribosomal RNA", at positions 1237 to 1746 of the family's 2925-position model. Lineage: Bacteria; Pseudomonadati; Pseudomonadota; Gammaproteobacteria; Enterobacterales; Enterobacteriaceae. The record is from RNAcentral.